This 73-nucleotide transfer RNA is filed under the name Actinoallomurus iriomotensis. Its description in RNAcentral is "tRNA-His". It matches the Rfam family "tRNA". Rfam says of the family: Transfer RNA (tRNA) molecules are approximately 80 nucleotides in length. Their secondary structure includes four short double-helical elements and three loops (D, anti-codon, and T loops). The record is from RNAcentral. Lineage: Bacteria; Bacillati; Actinomycetota; Actinomycetes; Streptosporangiales; Thermomonosporaceae.
GUGAUCAUGGUGUAACGGAAGCACGCCGGGUUGUGGCCCCGGAAGAGGCGGGUUCGAAUCCCCCUGUUCACCC